This 131-nucleotide small RNA is filed under the name Salmonella enterica. Its description in RNAcentral is "RtT sRNA". It matches the Rfam family "RtT RNA". From Rfam's summary of the family: This family represents a bacterial cis-regulatory element known as RtT RNA. The exact function of RtT is unknown although it is thought that it may be involved in changing the cellular response in relation to amino acid starvation. The record is from RNAcentral. RNAcentral also lists the same sequence under 4 other names. Lineage: Bacteria; Pseudomonadati; Pseudomonadota; Gammaproteobacteria; Enterobacterales; Enterobacteriaceae.
AUAUCUCUCCGUACGGGAAGGAUGAGAAGCUUCGACUAAGGUUCGAUUCGAGCGCAGCGAGAAAACGUUGCCGCAGGCAACGACCCGAAGGGUGAGGAGCGGAGCGACGAAUAAUCCUUCCCCCACCACCA